Molecule: long non-coding RNA, 1040 nt
Filed under: Homo sapiens (human)
Lineage: Eukaryota; Metazoa; Chordata; Mammalia; Primates; Hominidae
Description: non-protein coding lnc-C4orf45-4:1
Source: RNAcentral
ACCUUCGGCGGCGCCCAGGUGAGCAGCGCUCUGGCCGCAAGUGGGUCGCGGAGCCCUCGGCCGGGCUGUCGGGUCCCGCGCGCGGCCUGGACCCGAAGAGGGGGCGCAAGUCCUGGUGCCCCGGAGAGAAGCGCAGGGCUUUCCUCACGCAGUGUCCCCCACUGUCUCACGCCGCGCCCCCUCCCCACACCCGACGCGCCCUACUAGGAGACCCAGCCGCGUCGGGUCGCUGCUCCCCGCCCGCUCCUGGCGCCACGCCGCCGCCCAGGGGCUGAAAGCUAACCUUGGGCAAAAGACCGGCCCACCAGCCCGGGCUGUACUGGGCAUUCUUUUUGAGCCCAAGAGUUGCGUCCGAGUUGCUUCUGUGGCGAUAAAUCCUCUUAGGAUUUAUUUUGCUUAUUUGUAAUUUGCUGCACCCUCCCCUGCUUUCCAAGCCCACUCUGGCACCUCAGACAGUAAAAUGACCACGAAAUUAGGCAGAGAGGUUUCAACACCAGACCCACUACCACCCCUAGACCAACAAACACUCCAGAUUUAAAGUUGAUCACUCCUUAGCGACAGACCAGGAUGGCAAGUUCUGUGACAUAAUCAGAAACAUUUAUUGGUAGGUCUGGCUUUGCCUUGGACAGAACAAGCCUCCUCCUCUAGAUGCUCAAAUUUCCAAACCGGACCCACAUGGUGCAGAAACAAUACCUCGUCCUUCAAGAUGUCACCGCUCCUGCUGAUUCCCUCAGCUCCCCCCCACUCCUUGCCCCGGCCACGUAGAGGUGUGUUAAGGUCAGCCCAAGCAUCGGGGACCACUCUGCUGUUCUGGUCCCAGGGAUUUAUUUUUGUUUGCCCCCACCCCCCACAAGUUCUUAUUUUGAUAUCUAUAGACACAAUGAGUUUUAUGUAUGAGCUACUGCGUUGAACUUUUCAAACAUGAUUUUCAACAUCUAGUUUAAACACUUGGAAUAGAUUGUCAGCUAACAUUUUGGGGUUCCUUAAGUCACCUGUGUGCACUAAACAGCUUGUGUGACUUCCUAGCAAAGGGACUGUCC